Molecule: small nuclear RNA, 308 nt
Filed under: Ailuropoda melanoleuca (giant panda)
Lineage: Eukaryota; Metazoa; Chordata; Mammalia; Carnivora; Ursidae
Description: 7SK RNA
Rfam family: 7SK RNA
About the family: 7SK was discovered as an abundant small nuclear RNA in the mid-70s but a possible function has only recently been suggested. Two independent studies have found that 7SK RNA binds the CDK9/cyclin T complex (known as elongation factor P-TEFb).
Source: Rfam by way of RNAcentral
GGGUGUGAGUGCGAUGUGGUUGUGACAUCUGUCACCACAUUGGUCACCAGUUUUGAUUUGGCUCAUCUGGCUAGCUAGGCGGUGUCCCCAUCCUCCCUCAACUCUGUUCCAUGUGUGUCCCUGCCGAAGCUGUACGGUUUGUUGAAGAGGAUGACCUUCCUGGAUAGAGGAGGAUUGUUCUUUGGCCAAGAGUAUUCAAGUAGUUGCUUUACUCUGCUAGAACCCUCAAGUAAGCUCUUAAAAGUUAAUCUUAAAGUUAGAGCUCUUAAAAAAUCCAUCACCCACAGGGUGUCCCUGGGUGGCUUAAU